UACGAAGGGUGCAAGCGUUGUUCGGAAUUACUGGGCGUAAAGCGCGCGUAGGCGGCUUUGUAAGUUAGAGGUGAAAGCCUGGAGCUCAACUUCAGAAUUGCCUUUAAGACUGCAUCGCUUGAAUCCGGGAGAGGUGAGUGGAAUUCCGAGUGUAGAGGUGAAAUUCGUAGAUAUUCGGAAGAGCACCAGUGGCGAAGGCGGCUCACUGGCCCGAUACUGACGCUGAGGUGCGAAAGCGUGGGGAGCAAACAGG
RNAcentral lists this ribosomal RNA (253 nucleotides) under uncultured bacterium. RNAcentral's name for it is "partial 16S ribosomal RNA". It matches the Rfam family "Bacterial small subunit ribosomal RNA", at positions 524 to 776 of the family's 1533-position model. The record is from RNAcentral.